This 450-nucleotide ribosomal RNA is filed under the name uncultured bacterium. RNAcentral's name for it is "partial 16S ribosomal RNA". It matches the Rfam family "Bacterial small subunit ribosomal RNA", at positions 354 to 796 of the family's 1533-position model. The record is from RNAcentral.
GUGGGGAAUCUUCCGCAAUGGACGAAAGUCUGACGGAGCAACGCCGCGUGAGUGAAGAAGGUUUUCGGAUCGUAAAGCUCUUUCGUUAGGGACGAACGUGCUCUUUGUGAAUAAUGAGGAGUAAUGACGGUACCUAAAUAAGAAGCCACGGCUAACUACGUGCCAGCAGCCGCGGUAAUACGUAGGUGGCAAGCGUUGUCCGGAAUUAUUGGGCGUAAAGCGCGCGCAGGCGGGAUAUCAAGUCUGUCUUAAAAGUGCGAGGCUCAACCUCGUGAGGGGACAGAAACUGGUAUUCUUGAGUGUCGGAGAGGAAAGUGGAAUUCCAAGUGUAGCGGUGAAAUGCGUAGAGAUUUGGAAGAACACCAGUGGCGAAGGCGACUUUCUGGACGAUGUCUGACGCUGAGGCGCGAAAGCUAGGGGAGCGAACGGGAUUAGAAAACCUUGUAGUCC